This 253-nucleotide ribosomal RNA is filed under the name uncultured bacterium. RNAcentral's name for it is "partial 16S ribosomal RNA". It matches the Rfam family "Bacterial small subunit ribosomal RNA", at positions 524 to 776 of the family's 1533-position model. The record is from RNAcentral.
UACAGAGGUCCCAAGCGUUGUUCGGAUUCAUUGGGCGUAAAGGGCGCGUAGGCGGCUCGGUAAGUCGGGUGUGAAAUCUCGGAGCUUAACUCCGAAACUGCAUUCGAUACUGCCGAGCUUGAGGACUGGAGAGGAGACUGGAAUUUACGGUGUAGCGGUGAAAUGCGUAGAUAUCGGGAGGAAGACCAGUGGCGAAGGCGGGACUCUGGACAGUUACUGACGCUGAGGCACGAAAGCGAGGGGAGCAAACGGG